GGUACUGUGGCGGAAUGGAUAGACGCGGCGCCGAGGUAUGGGCGGUGUGGUGUUAAUGAUUAGCAUUAUAUAAAUCCUUGCAGGUUCGAGCCCUGCCGGUACCA
Molecule: transfer RNA, 104 nt
Filed under: Candidatus Phocaeicola faecipullorum
Lineage: Bacteria; Pseudomonadati; Bacteroidota; Bacteroidia; Bacteroidales; Bacteroidaceae
Description: tRNA-OTHER
Source: RNAcentral